Molecule: ribosomal RNA, 253 nt
Filed under: uncultured prokaryote
Description: partial 16S ribosomal RNA
Rfam family: Bacterial small subunit ribosomal RNA
Source: RNAcentral
UACGUAGGUGGCAAGCGUUGUUCGGAAUUAUUGGGCGUAAAGGGCGCGUAGGCGGCUUGUUAAGUCGGCUGUGAAAGCCCGGGGCUCAACCCCGGAGGGUCGGCCGAUACUGGCGAGCUAGAGUACGGAAGAGGUAGCUGGAAUUCCCGGUGUAGCGGUGAAAUGCGUAGAUAUCCGGAGGAACACCGGUGGCGAAGGCGGCAUCCUGGACCAUUACUGACACUGAAUAGCGAAAGCCAGGGGAGCAAACGGG